This 1194-nucleotide ribosomal RNA is filed under the name Bacillus sp. (in: firmicutes). RNAcentral describes it as "bacterial SSU rRNA". It matches the Rfam family "Bacterial small subunit ribosomal RNA", at positions 51 to 1235 of the family's 1533-position model. Lineage: Bacteria; Bacillati; Bacillota; Bacilli; Caryophanales; Bacillaceae. The record is from RNAcentral.
AUACAUGCAAGUCGAGCGGACAGAAGGGAGCUUGCUCCCGGAUGUUAGCGGCGGACGGGUGAGUAACACGUGGGUAACCUGCCUGUAAGACUGGGAUAACUCCGGGAAACCGGAGCUAAUACCGGAUAGUUCCUUGAACCGCAUGGUUCAAGGAUGAAAGACGGUUUCGGCUGUCACUUACAGAUGGACCCGCGGCGCAUUAGCUAGUUGGUGGGGUAAUGGCUCACCAAGGCGACGAUGCGUAGCCGACCUGAGAGGGUGAUCGGCCACACUGGGACUGAGACACGGCCCAGACUCCUACGGGAGGCAGCAGUAGGGAAUCUUCCGCAAUGGACGAAAGUCUGACGGAGCAACGCCGCGUGAGUGAUGAAGGUUUUCGGAUCGUAAAGCUCUGUUGUUAGGGAAGAACAAGUGCGAGAGUAACUGCUCGCACCUUGACGGUACCUAACCAGAAAGCCACGGCUAACUACGUGCCAGCAGCCGCGGUAAUACGUAGGUGGCAAGCGUUGUCCGGAAUUAUUGGGCGUAAAGGGCUCGCAGGCGGUUUCUUAAGUCUGAUGUGAAAGCCCCCGGCUCAACCGGGGAGGGUCAUUGGAAACUGGGAAACUUGAGUGCAGAAGAGGAGAGUGGAAUUCCACGUGUAGCGGUGAAAUGCGUAGAGAUGUGGAGGAACACCAGUGGCGAAGGCGACUCUCUGGUCUGUAACUGACGCUGAGGAGCGAAAGCGUGGGGAGCGAACAGGAUUAGAUACCCUGGUAGUCCACGCCGUAAACGAUGAGUGCUAAGUGUUAGGGGGUUUCCGCCCCUUAGUGCUGCAGCUAACGCAUUAAGCACUCCGCCUGGGGAGUACGGUCGCAAGACUGAAACUCAAAGGAAUUGACGGGGGCCCGCACAAGCGGUGGAGCAUGUGGUUUAAUUCGAAGCAACGCGAAGAACCUUACCAGGUCUUGACAUCCUCUGACAACCCUAGAGAUAGGGCUUUCCCUUCGGGGACAGAGUGACAGGUGGUGCAUGGUUGUCGUCAGCUCGUGUCGUGAGAUGUUGGGUUAAGUCCCGCAACGAGCGCAACCCUUGAUCUUAGUUGCCAGCAUUUAGUUGGGCACUCUAAGGUGACUGCCGGUGACAACCGGAGGAAGGUGGGGAUGACGUCAAAUCAUCAUGCCCCUUAUGACCUGGGCUACCGUGCUAAUGGAA